CAGGCCUAACACAUGCAAGUCGAACGGGGAGUAUUUACUUCGGUUUUUACUCCUAGUGGCGAACGGGUGAGUAACGCGUUGGUGACCUGCCCCGAAGAGGGGGAUAACUCCGCGAAA
This 117-nucleotide ribosomal RNA is filed under the name uncultured bacterium. RNAcentral describes it as "partial 16S ribosomal RNA". It matches the Rfam family "Bacterial small subunit ribosomal RNA", at positions 43 to 156 of the family's 1533-position model. The record is from RNAcentral.